This 3145-nucleotide long non-coding RNA is filed under the name Pan troglodytes (chimpanzee). Its description in RNAcentral is "long non-coding RNA NONPTRT014561". Lineage: Eukaryota; Metazoa; Chordata; Mammalia; Primates; Hominidae. The record is from RNAcentral.
GUGUGGUCCGGGUGAGCGAUUGUCCUGUGGCGUCCGGGACCGAGUUUGUGGCCCAGGGUUAUGUGUGCACUUCACACCUCUAACUUUUUUCAGGGUUCCUAUUGAUGGUUAGGAGCAGGAUUUCGGGGAUGAAGGCGGCAGCAGCAAGAGGAGGCUGCGACUGCGGACCCCAGAUUCGUCCCCCUCCACCACACACAACGCCAAGACGGGCCCCAGGAGGGCGUGAAGAGAAGACUUCCUUUCCUCUCCUCUCGCCUCCUGGCGCUGGCCGUAUGAAGCUGUCUCCCAGAAGCAUUAGCAGAGGAGCCCUGUGGGAGAAAUGAGGAGUGACCCAAAAGAAACUUGCUCAAGGACAGCCUCCUUAAAGCAGAAUUCCAUAUACCCCAACCUGCAAAAGAAGACUUUACGUGAAAUGUUACAGCCCAUAACAGCUGCAGCCUUGACUAUUAAAUCUCAAAGGGAAUAAAAAAGUCACCUGACAGUUAAAGCAGAGGACUAUACUUGGGGCCAAGAAUAUGGGCUACUUCAUAUGGAAGAACUCCAGCAACCGGGAGGUAGCUCAUCAGAACGUUAGGCAUUUCUGCUACCAGGAGACACCUGGACCCUGUAAGGCUGUGAGCUGAUUCUGGGAACUUUGCCAUCAGUGGCUGAGGCCAGAGACCCACACCAAAGAACAGAUCCUGGAAUUGCUGGUGCUGGAGCAGUUCUUGACUAUCCUGCCAGAGGAGCUCCAAGCCCAGAUGUUAGAGCAUCAGCCAGAGAACAGAGAGGAAAUGGUGAUCAUAUCGGAGGAUUUGGAAAGAGAGCUUGAUGAAACAGAAUGUCGGGUGUGAUUAAAAGGCACAUGAACACCCUAGCCAGAGAAAGAAGCAGCCAUACACCCAGGGAAGCAAGGUUGCAGAGCUCAAUCUCCACUCCCUCUCGCUUGAUAUGUAAGUCUCUAUGUUUCGUACUGUCAUCCUUUCUGGUUAGCUCCUUACUUCUUAAGGGUGGAAGAAGACUAUGUCAGCAUUCUUUCUCUGUUCUAUGCCCUGAGAUGUGUUCUCUAAGAUGUCUUUUAAAGAUAGUAACUGUGUUUCCCUCAUUGAGUCUUUCACAAGCCCAGCCAUAUCUAAUUGUUUCCAAGUUGCAGCCAGUGCAUGUGGUAUGGGACUGCACUCAGAAUAUCAUCAUCAAGCAGCACAGGAGCCACCAACUAUUCCUUUCCAGCCAAUGAAAAGACAGCUUAAAUGGGAAUAUCCAGAAUUCCAGGCCAUUCAUGAGCAAGGUGAGCAUCGCAGUCCAUCUCGAGAGAAAGGGAGUGGUUGAAAGCUCUGCCAGCUACCCAGGCUGAACAGCAUCAGGAGCAUCUCAGACAUAAACCACCAUGCUGAAUCAGAUGGAAGGUCCAUCUCCUGAAGUACUACAUUCCAGCUUACGUGGCACCAACAAGACCUGAUGCAGAAUGGCGUAAUGCUGUCCUCCCUCACAUCAGCCUCAGCAGGAAGUUGUACACCAGCUUCCGUAAUUUCCUUUAAAAAGCUAUUCUAGGCCACUGUCAUUAAAAAAAACCUUUACUUUUUUGUAAUAUUUUCAUAAUAUAUAACUUCAUAGCCCAACCUCUACUACACACUUAGUGCUUUCUCUGUAAAGUAGAAUUUACUUUUUUGUCUUAAAAUUACCUUUUCUGAAUCCCCUGGAUCACCUAAAUCCAUUUUGUACCCUCUUUUCUGUUCCCUUCUAAUAGAAGCUACAUCAUUGACCUGAUCUUCUAGACUCAUCUAAACAUUUUUAUUCUUUAGUCCCUGUUGUCUUUAAUUCAAACAUUACACAUAAUUCUAAAAUAUCCCUUAGGUCAGUCAUCUUCAGUAUUACUUCCUCAUUGGACCCAUUACUUCCAGCUUCAGUAUGCUUGAAUUUGUCCUGACUCUCAAUAGAAACAAAUUAUUUUUCUCUUACCUGUCACUUUCCACAUGCUAUCUUCAGACCUUCCACUCACUUUCAUCCUCCUCUACUUUUGAUACUCAUUUUUACUCCCAUUGCUCAACACAACUCUCUUCUUGAUUGUUCCUUUAUUCUAUCUCUUCCUUUGCUCAGUGGUAUGGACUGAAUGUUUGUGGUCCCACCAACAACCCCUAAACAAUUUAUACAUUGAAGCCCUAACCUCCAAUGAGUUGGUAUUAUAGAUGGGGCCUUUGAGAGGUAAUUAGUUCUUGAGGGCAGGGCCCUGUAUGAUAGGAUUAAUGCCCUUUUAAAAGCAGUCGCCAGAGAGCUUGAUAUUUCUCCUAUGCACACGUGAAGGUAAGGUCUUGUGAGCACAACAGCAAAAAGGUGAUCAUCUGAAAGCCAGAAGGAGAGCCCUCACCAGAAACCAACCAUGUUAGUACCCUGAUCUCAACCUCCAGAACUGUGAGAAAAUAAAUUUCUCUUAUUUAAACCACCAGUAUAGUAUUUUGUUAUGGCAGCCCAACUUAACACCACUUCAUGUCCCAAUUCUGUGGCAAUAAUGUGCAUGAGAGGUCUCCUUCCAUUUACCAGCUAUCUUAUUCCUUGCUUACAAGGAAUAUAUUCUUACAGAUAUCACAAACAGGGAAGACAGUUAUCUGCAUGGGGCAUAGCUUGCUUGCUUAAAGAAAAGGACAGAAGUUUAAUACUAGUGAAGAACCAUUUACAUUUUCUAAGGGCCAUUUUUUCACAGAAAACCAUUGUGGGCUCCCAAAAGUACAAGUAACCCAAUUUAGUAUUUUAUUCAAAGUGAAACAUACACUUAGGAAUAGAAUUCAUGAAAAAUUUUACAAAUAUAAGAUGCAUACUCCAUUCACAGUGGCUAUAUCCUAGAAAAUCCCUAAGUAUUACUCUGUACUAUAUUUUUUUUCCUUAAUUUGGGGAAACUUUAGUUACUGAGAUUAUACCCUUGAGAUACGGAGAUCUUUAUGAUUCAAGACGCAGACUUAACUAGCCUAGUUUUCCUUUUCUUUACUCUGGCUCCACAUCUUCCAAAUGAGUCUAGUUGGAAACUCUCACCCCUUAGUUUCCUCCCAGUCAGCACCAGUUUGGGGGAGUUAAGGAAUUAUUUUUCAUUUCCAGCUCUGGCUCUAAAUAAUGUGUCUCCAGCAGUGAAAUGUAGGCCAAGAAAGGAACCCACUUCUCAGAAGCAUUGGAAAAG